RNAcentral lists this ribosomal RNA (253 nucleotides) under uncultured bacterium. RNAcentral's name for it is "partial 16S ribosomal RNA". It matches the Rfam family "Bacterial small subunit ribosomal RNA", at positions 524 to 776 of the family's 1533-position model. The record is from RNAcentral.
GACGAACCGUGCAAACGUUGUUCGGAAUCACUGGGCUUAAAGGGCGCGUAGGCGGACUCGCCAGUCUGUGGUGAAAGCCCCCGGCUUAACCGGGGAAGUGCCAUGGAUACUGCGAGUCUGGAGGAGGGUAGGGGCAUCUGGAACGCUGGGUGGAGCGGUGAAAUGCGUUGAUAUCCAGCGGAACUCCGGUGGCGAAGGCGAGGUGCUGGACCCUUUCUGACGCUGAGGCGCGAAAGCCAGGGGAGCAAACGGG